AGUGAACGCUGGCGGUAGGCCUAACACAUGCAAGUCGAACGGCAGCACAGUAAGAGCUUGCUCUUACGGGUGGCGAGUGGCGGACGGGUGAGGAAUACAUCGGAAUCUACUUUUUCGUGGGGGAUAACGUAGGGAAACUUACGCUAAUACCGCAUACGACCUACGGGUGAAAGCAGGGGAUCUUCGGACCUUGCGCGAUUGAAUGAGCCGAUGUCGGAUUAGCUAGUUGGCGGGGUAAAGGCGCACCAAGGCGACGAUCCGUAGCGGGUCUGAGAGGAUGAUCCGGCACAUUGGAACUGAGACACGGUCCAGACUCCGACGGGAGGCCGCAGUGGGGAAUAUUGGACAAGGGGGGAAAGCCUGAUCCAGCCAUACCGCGUAGGUGAAGAAGGCCUUCUGGUUGUAAAGCCAUUUUGUUGGGAAAGAAAAGCAGCAGUUUAAUCCCCCGCUGUUCUGACGGUACCCAAAGAAUAAGCACCGGCUAACUUCGUG
This 492-nucleotide ribosomal RNA is filed under the name uncultured bacterium. Its description in RNAcentral is "partial 16S ribosomal RNA". It matches the Rfam family "Bacterial small subunit ribosomal RNA", at positions 29 to 507 of the family's 1533-position model. The record is from RNAcentral.